GAAGGCCUUCGGGUUGUAAAGCACUUUCAGUUGUGAGGAAAAGUUAGUAGUUAAUACCUGCUAGCCGUGACGUUAACAACAGAAGAAGCACCGGCUAACUCCGUGCCAGCAGCCGCGGUAAUACGGAGGGUGCGAGCGUUAAUCGGAAUUACUGGGCGUAAAGCGCACGCAGGCGGUUUGUUAAGCUAGAUGUGAAAGCCCCGGGCUCAACCUGGGAUGGUCAUUUAGAACUGGCAGACUAGAGUCUUGGAGAGGGGAGUGGAAUUCCAGGUGUAGCGGUGAAAUGCGUAGAUAUCUGGAGGAACAUCAGUGGCGAAGGCGACUCCCUGGCCAAAGACUGACGCUCAUGUGCGAAAGUGUGGGUAGCGAACAGGAUUAGAUACCCUGGUAGUCCACACCGUAAACGCUGUCUACUAGCUGUUUGUGGCUUUAAGCCGUGAGUAGCGAAGCUAACGCGCUAAGUAGACCGCCUGGGGAGUACGGCCGCAAGGUUAAAACUCAAAUGAAUUGACGGGGGCCCGCACAAGCGGUGGAGCAUGUGGUUUAAUUCGAUGCAACGCGAAGAACCUUACCUACACUUGACAUGCAGAGAACUUUCUAGAGAUAGAUUGGUGCCUUCGGGAACUCUGACACAGGUGCUGCAUGGCUGUCGUCAGCUCGUGUCGUGAGAUGUUGGGUUAAGUCCCGCAACGAGCGCAACCCUUGUCCUUAGUUGCCAGCAUUCAGUUGGGCACUCUAAGGAGACU
Molecule: ribosomal RNA, 746 nt
Filed under: uncultured Alteromonadaceae bacterium
Lineage: Bacteria; Pseudomonadati; Pseudomonadota; Gammaproteobacteria; Alteromonadales; Alteromonadaceae
Description: bacterial SSU rRNA
Rfam family: Bacterial small subunit ribosomal RNA
Source: RNAcentral